ACGCUGGCGGCGCGCCUAACACAUGCAAGUCGAACGAGAGAUGAGGAGCUUGCUCUUCAAUCGAGUGGCGAACGGGUGAGUAACGCGUGAGGAACCUGCCUCAAAGAGGGGGACAACAGUUGGAAAUGACUGCUAAUACCGCAUAAGCCCACGGCUCGGCAUCGAGCAGAGGGAAAAGGAGCGAUCCGCUUUGAGAUGGCCUCGCGUCCGAUUAGCUAGUUGGUGAGAUAACAGCCCACCAAGGCGACGAUCAGUAGCCGACCUGAGAGGGUGAUCGGCCACAUUGGGACUGAGACACGGCCCAAACUCCUACGGGAGGCAGCAGUGGGGAAUAUUGCACAAUGGGGGAAACCCUGAUGCAGCAACGCCGCGUGAAGGAAGAAGGUUUUCGGAUCGUAAACUUCUAUCAACAGGGACGAAGAAAGUGACGGUACCUGAAUAAGAAGCCCCGGCUAACUACGUG
RNAcentral lists this ribosomal RNA (463 nucleotides) under uncultured bacterium. RNAcentral's name for it is "bacterial SSU rRNA". It matches the Rfam family "Bacterial small subunit ribosomal RNA", at positions 33 to 507 of the family's 1533-position model. The record is from RNAcentral.